UACGAGGGGGGCGAGCGUUGUUCGGAAUUAUUGGGCGUAAAGGGUGCGUAGGCGGUUUGGUAAGUCUGAUGUGAAAUCUAUGGGCUCAACUCAUAGUCUGCAUCGGAAACUGCCGGGCUUGAGUGUGGGAGAGGUGAGUGGAAUUCCUGGUGUAGCGGUGAAAUGCGUAGAUAUCAGGAGGAAUACCGAUGGCGAAGGCAGGUCUCUGGGCUGACACUGACGGCUCAUGCACGAAAGCCGUGGGGAGCAAACAGG
RNAcentral lists this ribosomal RNA (255 nucleotides) under uncultured bacterium. Its description in RNAcentral is "partial 16S ribosomal RNA". It matches the Rfam family "Bacterial small subunit ribosomal RNA", at positions 524 to 776 of the family's 1533-position model. The record is from RNAcentral.